UUGAUUAUUGUGGGUUUGACGUUUACUGCAUAGUACAAAGGUUUUGGAUGGGGUCCCCGUUGGCAGGCGGACCUGCCGGGGAAACAUACGGUGCGCCAAAGACAGAGGGUGGGGUCCUUGCAUCCCGUACUGAGCAGGAGCGUCGGGUCUCAUAAUGAUCCUUCCGCAGGUUCACCUACGGAAA
RNAcentral lists this unclassified non-coding RNA (184 nucleotides) under uncultured fungus. Its description in RNAcentral is "sequence contains ITS1". Lineage: Eukaryota; Fungi. The record is from RNAcentral.